RNAcentral lists this ribosomal RNA (534 nucleotides) under uncultured bacterium. Its description in RNAcentral is "bacterial SSU rRNA". It matches the Rfam family "Bacterial small subunit ribosomal RNA", at positions 771 to 1302 of the family's 1533-position model. The record is from RNAcentral.
ACCUAAUAGAUACCCUGGUAGUCCACGCCCUAAACGAUGCGAACUGGAUGUUGGGUACAUUACGGUGCUCAGUGUCGAAAGCCAACGCGUUAAGUUCGCCGCCUGGGGAGUACGGUCGCAAGACUGAAACUCAAAGGAAUUGACGGGGGCCCGCACAAGCGGUGGAGUAUGUGGUUUAAAUUCGAUGCAACGCGAAGAACCUUGCCUGGCCUUGACAUCUGUCGAAUCCUGCAGAGAUGCGGGAGUGCCGCAAGGAACGACAAGACAGGUGCUGCAUGGCUGUCGUCAGCUCGUGUCGUGAGAUGUUUGGGUUAAGUCCCGCAACGAGCGCAACCCUUGUCCCUAGUUGCCAGCACAUCAUGGUGGGAACUCUAGGGAGACUGCCGGUGACAAACCGGAGGAAGGUGGGGAUGACGUCAAGUCCUCAUGGCCCUUACGGCCAGGGCUACACACGUACUACAAUGGUCGGUACAGAGGGUUGCGAAGCCGCGAGGUGGAGCCAAUCCCAGAAAACCGAUCCCAGUCCGGAUUGGA